UCCUACGGGAGGCAGCAGUAGGGAAUAUUGCUCAAUGGGGGAAACCCUGAAGCAGCAACGCCGCGUGAGGGAUGAAGGUCUUCGGAUCGUAAACCUCUGUCAGCAGGGAAGAACGGUCACUGUGCUAAUCAGCAGUGAAUUGACGGUACCUGCAAAGGAAGCACCGGCUAACUACGUGCCAGCAGCCGCGGUAAUACGUAGGGGGCGAGCGUUGUCCGGAAUCACUGGGCGUAAAGGGCGCGUAGGCGGUAAUAUAAGUCAGAUGUGAAAGGUGGGGGCUCAACCCCUAGAGUGCAACUGAUACU
RNAcentral lists this ribosomal RNA (305 nucleotides) under uncultured bacterium. RNAcentral's name for it is "bacterial SSU rRNA". It matches the Rfam family "Bacterial small subunit ribosomal RNA", at positions 337 to 634 of the family's 1533-position model. The record is from RNAcentral.